GGGAAAUGAUGCUUCAAAGGAUUGCCAAAUAAUUGGCAUAAAACAAACAAGAAAACUUUUCGCGCGUAUAUUCAGUAGUUUGUCGUCAAACAAUCAAAAGCGUCUUCCAACUGACUAUUUUGCUAUAAAAUGAAAUCCUGUGUAUCAAAGAAAAAAAAGGCGGAAAUUCAGUGUAUUUUAUUGAGUCAUUUGUCUGAAAGCCUAUGUGAUACAACUCCAAAGUCCAAAGAAAGAGAUGAAGAAGAAAAAGCCCUAACUGCAGUCAAGAAGCUGGACUGUAAUAGGCGUAAACUCCAUAGAAGGUCUGUGUGGCAGUAAGUAAAAGCAGCACAACAGCAGCAAUUAAAGAGAUGAUAGCCCACGGAUUGCCGAAAUAUUUAUGCUUCAAACUGGCACGCCAAGUAUUCCAUCUGUGAUUAUAAUACCGGUUUACAUCCUGAGACAACCUGGAAAGAUAACUAUCAUUUAUAUCGAAAACCACCUCUUGACAGAGGCGGUUGAAGAGGUCUGCAACUUCAGCAUCACUUCCAAGCCAAUGUUCUAUUAUCCCACAAUAAUGAAGGUAUGCCACAUCCUCGGGUGAGUUGAUCAAAUUAUCCAUAAAAACCACAUAUGAGGUUAUGUUAUUGCUGCAAUCAAGAUGGCACUGCUCAAAUGCAAUCAGAUUGAGGAAAAGUGAUCUGGUUCCAUCAUGGAUCAAGAGACGAGGAAUCCAGAGAACCCCAUUCUUGAAUUUUAUGUCCCAGAAUCUAUCAGUCUUCCUUCGCUUGAACUUGACACCUGCUUCUCUCAGCUCUGUCACACAAUGGAUCAAUUGUGUUCUCCUCUUAUCAGCAACUCGAUUGGCAUGUGACCAUCUCUUGAUCCAAAUUCUGGGCACGGUUUUAGGCCCUGUUCGCAGGAGACUUAGUCGGAAAACAUCAAGGCAAUGAACUCCUCCUUGAUCUGCUAAGGGGUCAAAGGUAGUCUCAUGUCCCAGGGAAGACUCCAAUUUGCUCUUUUCGCUUUUUGUUAGUGGCUCAUCUGUUGGCAUUAGUGGAUCGAAGAAUCCGAGUGCAAGCUUUGCCACAAGUCCUUUCUGAUCAGGAUCAUCUGAUUGAAGUCCCAGUAACCGAUCAAGUAUAAAGAGUGGAAGCUGAUUCUCUAGCAUUAUCAUGUCUCUCUGAAUAGAAUGCAUCGAGCCACGCAUUGCGAAAAUGGGAUCAUUUCUGGCAUAACCAAGUUGCUUGAAUCCCUCAGCAGCACCUCUGAAGAGUUCAAGCACAAAACAACCAUCAAGAACCAUCAUUUCCACAAAUUCAUUGCUGCUAAGACUGAUGGAACCCUCGUAACAGGAACGAGCUCUCUCUUCAAGUUCUCUGAUAGAAUCAAGGAACAGUUUUAUUUCCUUAUUAGUACGCUUGAGUACAUGGUGAAGGGAACGCCACUUAUGGCGAUCCAUUUGGCGUAGGCGUCUCUUCCCAUGGUGGUAAGGGCCCAAGGAGACAAUCUGAGGGACAUAAGCUUUAUCAUCCCCUUCUCGCAGGUAGUGGGGAACUCUGUAGAUGCACAACUUUGCCCAAGAACCUGCUGCAUCAUCUUGUCGAGCUUGUUCAAGUUUUUCUUUGAUGGAUAUCACCCACUCAGAAUCAGUUAACUUGGUUUCCUCUUCGCAGUUUUCACCAUCUUCAUUGAUAACAAUCUGCAGGUAAUCUGAUGGUGCCUGCUGUUGCUUUUGCAGAUCCUGUUGAGGCUGUUCUGGAAAUUCAAGCAAUUGGGCACUGCCAGUAGGCGAUUUUGGGACUGCAGAUUCCACUGUUUCCCUGAGUUUCAGUGUGAUAAGGUACCAACUUAGAAGCUCUUUGUUGAACACUGCAACCAUUUCUUUUGAGAAAAAAGCAAUAGCAGAUUUGAUUUUGGUUGAAAAGAAAUCUCCCUAAGAAAUGCAACUCUUUUAACUUGCAGGGAACAAACUCUUAAUGACGUAAAAUAGGGUAGUAUCCAGACAUCAUGUUGUAGAAAGAGAAUAAUACUUUAAUUGAUCUGGC
This 2027-nucleotide unclassified non-coding RNA is filed under the name Hevea brasiliensis (rubber tree). Lineage: Eukaryota; Viridiplantae; Streptophyta; Magnoliopsida; Malpighiales; Euphorbiaceae. The record is from RNAcentral.